GACGAACGCUGGCGGCGUGCUUAACACAUGCAAGUCGAACGGAAAGGCCUGCUUUCCCUUGUGGAUUGCGGGUACUCGAGUGGCGAACGGGUGAGUAACACGUGAGUGAUCUGCCCCCAACUUGGGUAUAAGCCUGGGAAACUGGGUCUAAUUCCCGAUAGGACUGCAGGGUGGUGCCUGUGGUGGAAAACGAUUUUCUAGUGGUUGGGGAUGAGCUCGCGGCCUAUCAGCUUGUUGGUGGGGUAAUGGCCUACCAAGGCGGCGACGGGUAGCCGGCCUGGGAGGGUGGACGGCCACAUUGGGACUGAGAUACGGCCCAGACUCCUACGGGAGGCAGCAGUGGGGAAGAUUGCACAAUGGGCGGAAGCCUGAUGCAGCGACGCCGCGUGGGGGAUGACGGCCUUCGGGUUGUAAACUCCUUUCGGCCGCGAGGAAGCCACCUGGUUGGAAGGGUGGUGACGGUAGUGGUAGAAGAAGCACCGGCUAACUACGUG
RNAcentral lists this ribosomal RNA (494 nucleotides) under uncultured bacterium. RNAcentral's name for it is "partial 16S ribosomal RNA". It matches the Rfam family "Bacterial small subunit ribosomal RNA", at positions 28 to 507 of the family's 1533-position model. The record is from RNAcentral.